UCCGUAGGUGAACCUGCGGAAGGAUCAUUAAUGAAUACAGAUGCCUGUCGAGCUUGCUCACGGGCUUUCUAUCAUAUCCAUAACACCUGUGCACUUGUUGGAUGAUCUAAAGACAUAGGGUAAAACCUAAAGUCAAUAGUCAUCCACUUACACUAAACAAUAAUGUAACAAAUGUAGUCUUAUUAUAACAAAAUAAAACUUUCAACAACGGAUCUCUUGGCUCUCGCAUCGAUGAAGAACGCAGCGAAAUGCGAUAAGUAAUGUGAAUUGCAGAAUUCAGUGAAUCAUCGAAUCUUUGAACGCACCUUGCGCUCCUUGGUAUUCCGAGGAGCAUGCCUGUUUGAGUGUCAUGAAAACCCUCAACCUUAGAUUGGUUAUUUGACCUUUCUUUGGCUUGGAUUUGGACGUUUGCCGAUGUCAAGUCGGCUCGUCUUAAAAGUAAUAGCUGGAUCUGUCUCGCGACAUGGUUUGACUUGGCGUAAUAAGUAUUUCGCUAAGGACAUCUUCGGAUGGCCCUGUUGCAGGACUAAAGACCGCUUUCUAAUCCAUUGGAUCUUCGGGGAUUAAUAUUCUUGACAUCUGGGCCUCAAAUCAGGGGUAGGGGGACUACCCGGCUGGAACUUAAGG
Molecule: ribosomal RNA, 627 nt
Filed under: uncultured fungus
Lineage: Eukaryota; Fungi
Description: eukaryotic LSU rRNA
Rfam family: 5.8S ribosomal RNA (bases 197-350)
Source: RNAcentral